Molecule: non-coding RNA, 28 nt
Filed under: Homo sapiens (human)
Lineage: Eukaryota; Metazoa; Chordata; Mammalia; Primates; Hominidae
Source: RNAcentral
GAGGUGUUGUGGUGGGCUCUGCCCAGUA